Long non-coding RNA from Ictalurus punctatus (channel catfish), 2976 nucleotides. The record is from Ensembl. NCBI's taxonomy places the organism in Eukaryota, Metazoa, Chordata, Actinopteri, Siluriformes, Ictaluridae.
GUGGCGGUAACACACCAUAACUUUAGUUGUCAAACCGCCUCAAUUCAGAAGAAGAAGAAGAGGAGCAGCAGGAGGGGCAACAGUAGAAGAGAGAAUCUCACGCCCUCGUUUACACUAGUCCAUACCGCCAGGUGGCGGUAAAUACACCACAAGAACCCGAGAACCGCCUCAAUUCAAAGAAGAAGAAGAAGAAGCAGUAGAAAAGAACACGCAUGCGCAGAAGCUGUAUAUUCUCCAGACGGCACGUGGGAAUGUCUGUGCUCAGAGAAAGGUAUUGUACUUACUGAAAAAGCCAUUCGCGUUAACAAGAAAGGAAAAAAAAAAAAUCAGUGUUUCCAGAUUCUGAUUGUAAAACCUGUUUCUUAAAUCAGUUCUUCAUAUUACAAUUAUUAUCCCCAGAUGUUUCCUGUCUGCGUAAAGUCAGACUGCAGCACUGCAGACGAGCACGUGCUUGGAGGUGACGAAAAGGAGGAAGGUUAAUCUUUUUACUGCACACCAAUUCAUGGUGUUUCAAAAGAGAUCCGAGAUAGUUCAAAUCUUAAGGAAAAGAAAAGUCUGCAUUGACUGAGAUUGCCCCCUCUCCGUAAUCCCCCAGAGUCCCUGACUGCAUGGGAUUCUCGAAGGUCAAGAUCUGUUGGAGAGUUCAGUAGUACCAGAUUCUGCGUUACUGUUUACGCCUGGCUGAAUGCGCAGGUGUCACGCGUUUAACACCGAUUAAUGCAGCAUUGAUGUCAUCAUGGACCCAAUGGUUAUUGAAGUUCAUGGAGUUCCCUGCAUUCCUCCUCAUGACCGGAUGGUUGAUCAGCUAAAGAUACACUUCCUGAAGCGGAGGAAUAGUGGUGGUGAUGUUUUAACAGUGAUUUAUCCAACUUCUGCUCCAGGCCAGGCAUAUGUCAUAUUUGAAUCAACUGAAGUUCCUGGAGUCUUGGCACAUACUCAUGUUCUAGAUGUUGACAACAGAUUUUAUCCAAUACACGUAAAGAAAGCUCAUUUGUCUGAGGUGGACAUGAAAGUUAAGACCAUGCUGGACUUGAGGAUGUUCCCAAAGCCAGAAUCAGUCUUGAAGCUCCUUAACAAUUAUGGCUUUAACGUAACAGAAUCCAGUUCAGGUCAUGUCCAGUUGAAGGGCUCCUUCUUGAAACUAAAGCUCAUACACAGUGAACUCAUACAGCUUCAGGGUCACGGACAUCACUCCCAUAGUAAAUCUCCAUCUGCUAUUCACAAUGGCUCCUCUUUGGGGUAUGACAUGGAGCGUAAGAGUUUGGAUCCCAGAUUUUGUUCCAAGUCCACAUCGAGGAAUAUGGAUAAAAUGGAUGCUGUCAGUCAGCAGCAGUUACUUGAUAAUGCACUGUCAUCUUCAUAUAGAGAUUCGGCAUCUGGUGGAUCUCCCAGGAGUCUUCAAAGCAGACAUUCAUCCUACACUGAAAGAAAUGCAAGCAGCCCAAUGGAUGCUGCUGUUCAAAAAUUUCAAAGACUGGACAGCAACGAACUGCUUGCUCAGAGACGGAGCCCCCAUGCUGAUGGUGCAUCAUCAUUAUCAGCAAAUUCUCCAUCUAGUCUCACAUCGCUACACCACACAUCUCCAUUGUAUAAUGAUUCAGCCUCAGGUGGAUACCCCAGGAGUCUUCACAGCAGCUACUACUCCUCUAUUGGAAGUACUAGCUAUAAAGUGGACACUGAUAUCCCAGACUAUGUGCACACGCAACAGCAAAACGUCAUGAGCAAUGAAAUGCUUGCUCAUAGAAGGAGCCACCUUGUUGAUGUUCCAUCCUCGUCAAAAACCUCUACAUACAGCCCCACAAUGCAACACCACACAUCUUAUAGAUAUUCACCCUCAAAUGGAUCUCUUAGGAACUUCCAAGAUGAUACUAGGGCCAGGUCCACUCACACCAGUCCCUCAUCCUCCAGUUUAGGAAUGGCAAGCUUUCCAGUGGACACAGAUAUCAUAAACUUUAUACUCACCCAACGGCAGAAUGAUCUUAAGCGGAUUAGGAAGGACUAUGGUACUGAGAUGAAUAUAAAAGAUGGUGUUGGCUUUACAACGGUCACGUUUUUGGGAAAUAACAGUGAGAAAGCUGAAGCAUGUCUUCUGAACCUCAUUGAGGAGAUCGGACCUUCACUGCGCACCCAAGAAAUACAUCUGAAGGAAUAUGACAGUGUUAAAAAAAGCAGAUCCUUGAGAGAAUCGAAGGUAAUAAAGACUCGGGUGUUUCCAUCACACACACUGAUGAUGUUGUAAAGCUGGUGGGAGACUCAAGAGGAAGCUUUGAGAUGAUGCAAAAGCUACUAGGACACAAUGAUGCCUCUCAUAGAGGAAGGGCCAUGGAGAGGGGCUCAAAAUCCAGGAGAAGCUCUUCUCUACCCAGACAGUAUAAGAUGGCUGCCAAUGCCCGUGUUACCACUCCUGAAAAUCAGACAAGUGCUGCAAGAAAAUACUCUCCUUCACAUUAUCAAGAGAAAUCAGAUGAAGGAAAAGCUCAGCAGAUUGUUCAAGGCCCUGAACAGACUCCAGACAAGAAGUCCCAACGGACACGCAGCAAUUCAGAGUCUCGAGACAAAAACAGGACAACCAAGGAGCAGGCGUUACCUCAAGUGGAAUUAGAGUCGCCAGGUCGAGGAAAGAAGUCCCUAAAAGAGUAUGGCAUUAACUUCCUAAAACGACUCGAUCCAAAUACUAAAAAUAUUGAUUAUAGAAUGGCUAUGCGUAAAAAAAGUCAUUCUACACCCAAAAACCCUGACUAAAUUGCUGUUUGCUGAUAUACAGAAAGUCAGCAAAAUUAUUAAAAAGUAUUCUAUGAUCUUCAGUACACACUGUUCAUGUGCAUUUUAGGUGAUUUCUUUUAUUUUUAUAAUCAAGAUAUUUGUAAUGUUAAACAAUAAAUAAACUACAUUUCAUGGUUUUGAACAAUGUAUCCUACAAUAACUAACCAGCACUGAUUUAUUAUUUCUGGAAUAAAAAAAAAUGUAAAGUCAUGU